UACGGGGGGGGCAAGCGUUGUCCGGAAUCACUGGGCGUAAAGGGCGCGUAGGCGGCCUGGUAAGUAGGGGGUGAAAUCCUGCGGCUUAACCGCAGGGCUGCCUUCUAAACUGUCAGGCUCGAGCACGGUAGAGGCAGAUGGAAUUCCCGGUGUAGCGGUGGAAUGCGUAGAGAUCGGGAAGAACAUCAGUGGCGAAGGCGGUCUGCUGGGCCGUUGCUGACGCUGAGGCGCGACAGCGUGGGGAGCAAACAGG
Molecule: ribosomal RNA, 253 nt
Filed under: uncultured bacterium
Lineage: Bacteria
Description: partial 16S ribosomal RNA
Rfam family: Bacterial small subunit ribosomal RNA
Source: RNAcentral